Molecule: small nucleolar RNA, 132 nt
Organism: Talpa occidentalis (Iberian mole)
Lineage: Eukaryota; Metazoa; Chordata; Mammalia; Eulipotyphla; Talpidae
Product: small nucleolar RNA SNORA51
Exons: 1
Source: RefSeq, a predicted model, not a curated record
GGCCUCCUGGUGCUUACCACAGGCUGUGUUUUUUACACUGACUGUAUAGAUAGAGGAGGCAAAGUAAACCUACCCUAUAUAAACUCCAGCCAGGCCCUUUGGCUGGCCUGUAUUAUGAAUGGGGGUACAUAG